This 217-nucleotide long non-coding RNA is filed under the name Manihot esculenta (cassava). RNAcentral's name for it is "long non-coding RNA (MESC_LNC007128)". The record is from RNAcentral. Lineage: Eukaryota; Viridiplantae; Streptophyta; Magnoliopsida; Malpighiales; Euphorbiaceae.
AAUAGAGCAGGUUAUGAAGAUAGCUUGGAAGAAGAAAGCUGUUGAGCGCUAUCGUAGCCUUAUAUGUAAUAUAAGGAAUGAGAAGGAGAAGAGGCUAUCAUUGACAGAAGGAGUAAUGGAUGCAUGGCAAUCCGCUUGGGGAGCAAAUGAGUAUCAAAACCAAUGCAAAAAAUUUUCAAAUAACAGAAAGAGUGAAAUAGGUGGAUAAGGCGUUGGC